RNAcentral lists this ribosomal RNA (450 nucleotides) under uncultured bacterium. RNAcentral describes it as "bacterial SSU rRNA". It matches the Rfam family "Bacterial small subunit ribosomal RNA", at positions 29 to 524 of the family's 1533-position model. The record is from RNAcentral.
AGCGAACGCUGGCGGCAGGCCUAAUACAUGCAAGUCGAACGGUCUCUUCGGAGGCAGUGGCGGACGGGUGAGUAACGCGUGGGAAUAUGCCCUUUGGUACGGAACAACUGAGGGAAACUUCAGCUAAUACCGUAUGUGCCCUUCGGGGGAAAGAUUUAUCGCCAUUGGAGUAGCCCGCGUUGGAUUAGGUAGUUGGUGGGGUAAAGGCCUACCAAGCCUACGAUCCAUAGCUGGUCUGAGAGGAUGAUCAGCCACACUGGGACUGAGACACGGCCCAGACUCCUACGGGAGGCAGCAGUAGGGAAUCUUGCGCAAUGGGCGAAAGCCUGACGCAGCCAUGCCGCGUGAAUGAUGAAGGUCUUAGGAUUGUAAAAUUCUUUCACCGGGGAAGAUAAUGACGGUACCCGGAGAAGAAGCCCCGGCUAACUUCGUGCCAGCAGCCGCGGUAAU